RNAcentral lists this small RNA (128 nucleotides) under Deinococcus gobiensis I-0. RNAcentral describes it as "hypothetical noncoding RNA". The record is from RNAcentral. Lineage: Bacteria; Thermotogati; Deinococcota; Deinococci; Deinococcales; Deinococcaceae.
GCAGAGCGUGCCGCUGUACCGGGUCAGCGAGGCUGAGCCGCCUACGCCAGAGCAACUACUGAUCCAUGCAUUGAUUCAUAGCAUUACGCACCGGCAUUCAGAGUUCUGGCGAAUCUAGGAAGUCGGCC